GAUGAACGCUAGCGGCAGGCCUAACACAUGCAAGUCGAGGGAGAAGCCCUUUCGGGGGCAGAAACCGGCGCACGGGUGCGUAACGCGUAUGCAACCUACCUUUCACAGGGGGAUAGACCGAAGAAAUUUGGAUUAAUACCCCAUAAUAUUAUUGGAUGGCAUCAUUUGAUAAUUAAAACUGCGGUGGUGAAAGAUGGGCAUGCGUCCUAUUAGCUAGUUGGAGUGGUAACGGCACCCCAAGGCUACGAUAGGUAGGGGUCCUGAGAGGGAGAUCCCCCACACUGGUACUGAGACAGGGACCAGACUCCUACGGGAGGCAGCAGUGAGGAAUAUUGGUCAAUGGUCGGAAGACUGAACCAGCCAUGCCGCGUGCAGGAAGAAUGCCUUAUGGGUUGUAAACUGCUUUUAUAUGGGAAGAAUAAGGCGUACGUGUACGUUGAUGACGGUACCAUAUGAAUAAGCAUCGGCUAACUCCGUG
This 478-nucleotide ribosomal RNA is filed under the name uncultured bacterium. Its description in RNAcentral is "partial 16S ribosomal RNA". It matches the Rfam family "Bacterial small subunit ribosomal RNA", at positions 28 to 507 of the family's 1533-position model. The record is from RNAcentral.